AUACGUAGGUGACAAGCGUUAUCCGGAUUUACUGGGCGUAGAGGGCGUGUAGGUGGUCUUGCAAGUCAGAAGUGAAAUUCCUGAGCUCAACUCGGGCGCUGCUUCUGAAACUGCAGGACUUGAGUGCUGGAGGGGAUAGCGGAAUUCCUAGUGGAGCGGUAAAAUGCGCAGAUAUUAGGAAGAACACCGGUGGCGAAGGCGGCUAUCUGGACAGUAACUGACGCUGAGGCGCGAAAGCGUGGGGAGCAAACAGGAUUGGAUACCCUGGUAGUCCACGCCGUAAACGAUGAAUGCUAGGUGUAGGGGGUAUCGACCCCUUCUGUGCCGCAGUCAACACAAUAAGCAUUCCGCCUGGGGAGUACGGCCGCAAGGUUGAAACUUAAAUGAAUUGACGGGG
RNAcentral lists this ribosomal RNA (397 nucleotides) under uncultured bacterium. Its description in RNAcentral is "partial 16S ribosomal RNA". It matches the Rfam family "Bacterial small subunit ribosomal RNA", at positions 523 to 918 of the family's 1533-position model. The record is from RNAcentral.